This 82-nucleotide transfer RNA is filed under the name Flavobacteriales bacterium. RNAcentral's name for it is "tRNA-Leu". It matches the Rfam family "tRNA". From Rfam's summary of the family: Transfer RNA (tRNA) molecules are approximately 80 nucleotides in length. Lineage: Bacteria; Pseudomonadati; Bacteroidota; Flavobacteriia; Flavobacteriales. The record is from RNAcentral.
GCGCAUGUGGUGAAAUUGGUAGACACGCUGUCUUCAGGUGGCAGUGCCGCAAGGUGUGGAGGUUCGAGUCCUCUCAUGCGCA